GGGGUUGUGGCUCAGUGAUAGAGCACUUGCCUUACACACAUGAGGCACUGGGUUCCCAUCCCCAGCAGCACAU
Molecule: transfer RNA, 73 nt
Filed under: Urocitellus parryii (Arctic ground squirrel)
Lineage: Eukaryota; Metazoa; Chordata; Mammalia; Rodentia; Sciuridae
Also listed under: 2 other names
Description: Spermophilus parryii (Arctic ground squirrel) tRNA
Rfam family: tRNA
About the family: Transfer RNA (tRNA) molecules are approximately 80 nucleotides in length. Their secondary structure includes four short double-helical elements and three loops (D, anti-codon, and T loops).
Source: Rfam by way of RNAcentral